Cavia porcellus (domestic guinea pig) is the source of this 15968-nucleotide RNA transcript. It is a transcript of the gene named SR-related CTD associated factor 8, with no coding region annotated. The record is from RefSeq and is a predicted model, not a curated record. Lineage: Eukaryota; Metazoa; Chordata; Mammalia; Rodentia; Caviidae. The transcript has 23 exons.
UGCCCUCGCCAGCCAGUGCCUCCCUCCCGCGCUGCCCCAGCUCGCAGCAGCUGCUCUCCCGCCGGCGUCCGCGUCUCGCGCUCUCCACCCGGUACAGCUGCAGCCGCCUCUUCCGCCACCCAGCUCGGGCCUCCGCGCAGACAACAUGGAGGCCGUGAAAACCUUCAACAGCGAGGAUUGUGCCUCUACUCCUGCUUGUACAGACUGCUUUUCCAGCAGCAUGGACACAAGAAGCAUAUUGUAUUCCCUGAAUGACUAUAAGCCACCCAUUUCUAAAGCAAAAAUGACCCAGAUUACAAAGGCAGCCAUCAAAGCUAUUAAGUUUUAUAAACAUGUGGUACAGAGUGUUGAGAAAUUCAUUCAGAAAUGUAAACCAGAAUAUAAAGUACCUGGACUUUAUGUUAUUGACUCCAUUGUGCGACAGUCCCGACAUCAAUUUGGUCAAGAAAAGGAUGUGUUUGCACCCAGAUUUAGUAAUAACAUCAUUAGCACUUUCCAGAAUUUAUAUCGUUGCCCUGGGGAUGACAAGAGUAAAAUAGUGAGAGUAUUAAACUUGUGGCAGAAGAACAAUGUAUUCAAGAGUGAGAUUAUUCAGCCACUUUUGGAUAUGGCAGCAGGAAUCCCUCCUCCUGUUGUCACACCUGUUUUGGCCAGUACUACUACUGCUCUGAGCAAUACUCCAGGAACGCCUGUGACACCUGUUACUCCAGCCAAUGUGGUCCAAGGCCUGUCUGAUCCAUGGGUAUCUCAGAUAACAAACACAGACACACUGGCUGCUGUUGCUCAGAUCUUACAAAGUCCUCAAGGCCAGCAGCUUCAGCAGUUAAUACAGACUUUACAGAUACAACAGCAGAAGCCCCAGCCUUCCAUCCUGCAGGCCCUGGAUGCUGGUCUUGUGGUUCAGUUGCAGGCUCUCACUGCACAGCUUACAGCUGCAGCUGCAGCAGCCAACACACUUACUCCCUUAGAACAGGGAGUCUCUUUUAACAAGAAGUUGAUGGAUAGGUUUGAUUUUGGUGAAGAUUCUGAGCAUAGUGAAGAACCCAAAAAGGAAAUUCCAGCUCCUCAACUUUCUCAUGUUUCAGAAUCUGUGAACAAUUCCAUUUUUCAUCAGAUAGCAGAACAACUACAACAGCAAAACCUUGAACAUCUCAGACAGCAGCUUCUGGAACAGCAACAACCACAGAAGGCAACUCCUCAGGAUAGUCAAGAAGGAACAUUUGGGUCUGAGCAUUCGGCGUCACCAUCACAAGGGAGCAGUCAGCAACAUUUUCUUGAACCUGAGGCAACUUUGGAUGAUUCCAUAGAUAUUCAACAACAGGAUAUGGAUAUAGAUGAAGGGCAAGAUGGAGUACAAGAGGAAGUCUUUGAACAAGAAGCUAAGAAAGUAGCAGUUCGUUCAAGAUCAAGGACUCAUUCACGAUCACGUUCAAGAUCACCAAGAAAACGAAGAUCCAGGUCACGAUCUGGUUCUAGAAAGCGUAAGCACAGAAAGCGAUCACGCUCCCGCUCAAGAGAAAGAAAGAGGAAGUCAUCACGUUCAUACUCAAGUGAAAGGAGAGCCAGAGAAAGGGAGAAAGAACGGCAGAAAAAGGGGUUACCUCCAAUUAGGUCUAAAACAUUAAGUGUGUGUAGUACUACUCUCUGGGUUGGUCAAGUGGACAAGAAGGCAACACAACAAGAUUUAACUAACCUUUUUGAGGAAUUUGGACAGAUUGAAUCUAUUAAUAUGAUUCCUCCCAGGGGCUGUGCUUACGUCUGUAUGGUUCAUCGGCAAGAUGCAUUUCGGGCUCUUCAGAAACUCAGUUCUGGAUCAUACAAAAUUGGUUCCAAGGUCAUUAAGAUUGCGUGGGCUUUAAACAAGGGUGUAAAAACAGAGUACAAACAAUUUUGGGACGUGGAUCUUGGAGUAACUUACAUACCUUGGGAAAAAGUGAAAGUGGAUGACUUGGAUGGUUUUGCAGAAGGAGGCAUGAUUGAUCAGGAAACUGUAAAUACUGAAUGGGAAACUGUAAAAAGCUCAGAACCCAUUAAAGAGACAGUCCAGACUACUCAAAGUCCAACUCCAGUGGAAAAGGAAACUGUGGUCACAACCCAGACAGAGGUUUUCCCUCCACCUGUUGCCAUGUUGCAGAUUCCAGUAGCUCCAGCGGUGCCUACCGUUAGUUUAGUUCCACCAGCCUUUCCUGUGUCAAUGCCGGUUCCUCCUCCUGGCUUCAGUCCAAUCCCUCCACCUCCUUUUCUACGAGCAAGUUUCAACCCUUCACAACCACCUCCUGGUUUCAUGCCACCACCAGUUCCCCCACCGGUUGUACCACCCCCUGCAAUUCCUCCAGUAGUACCGACAUCUUUAGUGCAACCACCAUUGUCCAUGACCCCAGAAACUGUGAAAGAUGUUGGAUUUGGUAAUCUUGUUUUACCAAGUGGUUCCGUUGCCAGUGGUCUUGCUACUGCUACUCUGCCAGCUGGAAAUGUUUUUAAUCCCCCAGCUAAAGCAGAGCCUGAAGAAAAAGUACCUCAUCUUAUAGAACAUCAGAUUUCUUCUGGUGAAAAUACCAGAUCAGUGAUUACAAAUGAUAUUUCAAGUAACACUGCGAUUUUAGGACAGCCACCUAAUGUGACAAGCAAUUCUGGAAUUCUGGGAGUCCAAAGACCAAAUGUAUCAAAUAAUUCUGAAAUACUUGGGGUCCGGCCAGCUAAUGUCUCCAGCAGUACUGGGAUUAUUGGAGCCCAACCACCAAAUAUCAUAAAUAACUCUGGAAUUUUGGGACUACAACCACCAAAUGUGUCGAAUAGUUCUGGACUUCUGGGAGUACUACCCCCAAAUAUGCCUAAUGCUUCUGGACUUGUAGGAGUACAGCCACCAAAUGUUACAAAUACUUCUGGACUUUUGGGAGCACAGCCACCAGCUGGACCUCAAAACUUACCCCCUUUAAACAUCCCUAGUCAAAGGAUGCCUGCAAUGCCAAUAUUAGACAUCCGUCCAGGACUAAUACCACAGGCACCUGGACCAAGGUUCCCUUUAAUACAGCCUGGAAUUCCACCUCAGCGAGGAAUCCCUCCCCCGUCAGUACUUGACUCAGCUCUUCAUCCACCACCCCGUGGACCUUUUCCUCCAGGAGAUAUUUUCAGUCAGCCAGAAAGACCUUUUCUAGCUCCUGGAAGACAAAGUGUAGACAAUAUUACUAACCCAGAAAAAAGGAUACCACUUGGGAAUGAUAACAUCCAACAGGAGGGAGAUAGAGAUUAUCGGUUUCCUCUCAUAGAAACCAGGGAGACCAUUACUAGACCUCCCCCUGUGGAUGUUAGGGAAGUGGUUGGGCGGCCUAUAGAUCCAAGAGAAGGUCCCGGAAGGCCUCCAUUAGAUGGUAGGGAUCAUUUUGGAAGACCUCCUGUAGACAUAAGAGAAAAUCUUGUGAGGCCAGGUAUAGAUCAUCUUGGUCGAAGAGACCACUUUGGCCUUACUCCAGAGAAGCCCUGGGGGCACAGAGGAGAUUUUGAUGAGAGAGAACACCGGGUUCUACCUGUUUAUGGAGGUCCAAAAGGCUUGCAUGAAGAAAGAGGUAGAUUUCGAGCUGGAAACUAUCGAUUUGAUCCUAGAAGUGGUCCUUGGAACAGAGGAUUUGGACAAGAAGUUCACAGAGAUUUUGAUGACCGAAGAAGACCCUGGGAGAGGCAGAGGGAUAGGGAUGACAGAGAUUUGGAUUUCUGCAGAGAAAUGAAUGGAAAUCGUCUUGGACGAGAUAGAAUUCAAAACACUUGGGUCCCCCCUCCUCAUGCUCGGGUUUUUAAUUAUUUUGAAGGGGCCACUUCUCAACGAAAAAAUGAUAAUGUGCCUCAGGUUAAUGGUGAAAAUACAGAGAGACAUGCUCAGCCACCGCCUUUAACAGUACAGAAUGAUCCUGAACUUUAUGAAAAACUGACAUCUUCAAGUGAGAUAAACAAGGAGAAGAGUGACACAGUUGCUGAUAUAGAAAGUGAACCAGUGGUGGUAGAAAGCACAGAAACUGAGGGGACAUAAUCAUCACUCAGUAGACAGAGUUGCUAUGUUGCCCAGGCUGGCCUCAGACCUCUGAGCUCGAGUGAUCCUCCUGCCUCAGCCUCCCGAGUAGCUGGGAAUACAGGCGAGUGCCAUGGCUGACUUACCAUAAUAGAAUUUGUAAGCAAUGUGAACUGCUGGCUUUCCAGAAGCUAUCUUUUAGAGGGAAGGUCAGGCUUUCUUCAAUGGAGGAUCUUUCUCCAUUUCUUAAAGUGCCAUUCUGUGUGCCACUGUUGGUUCACAGGUUCUUAGUCGUCUGUGUUAAAUGACUCCAGACUAUACCUUUGUCAGGGGUGUAUUGAUGUCCAUGCCUCCCUGUCUUCCUCCUCCUGUCUCCUUUGCUUGCAGUCUUUCACAUUCCUCAGACUCCCACAGCUUCUCUCUGUCUUGACUUAGAGAAAUGCUUUGGAGCUAAUGCCCAAAAUAGUGUUCUCCUGCCCCUUGCUACACUACUUUUGUUUUAUUGUUAUUCUUUUGUUUUGUUUUGUGCAAGAGCAGCCAGAGAUUGAACCUAGGGAAAUGCAACAUUGAGCUGCAUCCCCAGCCUCGCCCUGCUUUGUGAGACAGAGUCUUGCCGCGUAGCCCAGGCCAGCCUUGAACCUGCAAUCCUCCUGCGGCAGGCUCCCAAGCCACUGGAAUUACCAGGAUUAGCCAGGGUCCCGUCUCUGGUUUUCCUUGCAGCACGCUGCUGCUGACCUGUCUCACCCCUCUCCCUGCCUUGUGGGAGCUGCAGGAUGACUGCUGUCCCCAGCUCCUAGAGCAGCCCUAGCAAAGGAUAGGCGCCCCGUGAUUACCUGAUGGAAAAGAAGGGCACUGCUCAAGGGCGUAUUUUUUAUAGUCUGGGAUCAGUAGUGUAAGAGAAACAUCCUAAAACCAUCCAAGUGGCUCGGGAAAUGAAUACCACCUACGGUGCUGGUCUGGUGGCCACAAGGUACACACCCUUUCACCCUCAGUCGGGUGCCAAACAAAAUACAGGGCACCUAACUCACUUUAAACUUCAGACGGGCAACAAAUGAUUUUUGAUUUAAGGAUAUUCCACGCAGUAUUUGAGCUACACUUUAAACAGUGUUUCUUGUAUAUUUCUACUUGCUAAAUUUGGCAAUUCUACUCCAUAGCUCCCUCAUGUAUUGAUUAGCCUUAUGUUAGGCGCUUCAUUGUUUUCUGCAGUUUUCCUAAAAGAAAGCUGUGUCAGCCUUUCCCCUGGGACACAGACUGCAGUUAGAGCUGGACUUCAUUCAAAAUCUAAAGUGUCUGUCACGAUGAUGUUCGUGUAUGUAGCAACUUAAUUCUUUUUUUUUUCUCCACUAGAGAAAAUGUAUUUAAUAUAAAUAGAAAUGACUGUUAGAGGGAUAACUUUGAGCCUUUUUUUGAUUUAUUAUUUAAAACAAAGCAUUUGCAAAUACAGAUUUUAUUAUUGUGACCAAACUUAACAAAUGAUUUGAGACCUCUCAGCCGAUUGGUAUGUCGUUAGUUACCAAUGACUUGCUAUGAGGGAAGUUCACUUUGAGGUUGGAAAUAAGUGGUUUAGAAUUUCAUGCUAGAAAAUGAGGAUUGUCCUUUUUUUUUUUUUUUUUUACUUAAGAGAUGUGAUUUUUCUUUUUUUUUUUUUUUUUGUCUUUUUCCUUUUUUAUCAGUACCGGGGAUCAAACUCACGACUGCCUGCUUGCAAGGCAGGCACUUAGCUAAAUCUCCAGCCCCCAAGAUGUGAUUUUUCUAUGCAAGAGGAAAAAAAUCUAUUGAAAAACUAAUAAUUUAAUCUGAUAAUACUAAUAAUAGUAUCUAUUGAGAUAGUUUUUAAAUUAUUAGUUUGCAAUGUAUUUGAAAAUGCAUUUUUCUAAUGGUUAAAUUCUAACAUACUGCCACAGCUAACGUGCACCUUGAAUUUUCUCUUUCAUGAAUAAUAAACAAGUAGAGUAGUAUUUGAGUCCUUUGGUUCCACUUAAGUGCCUUUGUCAACACUUGACAUCCCUGAAGAAUGGGUUUGCACAUGUUAAUUGUCAUGCAAACAAAAGAGUGGCAGGUGAGUGCCACCUUGUGUGCUGCGCAGGUCUCAAAGUUGGGGUGGAGGUGUGGAUGGAGAGAGGGUGGAGAAAUUAAGAUAAGAGCCAAUAUACUGAAAGCAGAGGUCAGGUGGAGCUCUCUCUCCUGAUGGUAGCAAAGGCACUGCUUAAUGGAGCAGUGCGUUUAUUCAUACAUUUGUCACAUGACACUCCUUUGCUUAACUAACUGACCUCUCAGGCCCCUUGUUCUGGGGGCUGCGACAGCUGUUUGUCUGGGGCACUCUGUGCCCGCAGGGCACUCCUCGGGCCCUGUGCUCUCAGUUCCACAAGUGUGAAGGAUCACUAGCUUGGUCCUCCCAACCGGCCAUUGCCCAUCUUCCCCUCCUGAGAGCCUUCUCCUUGUACUCCAGCAGUGGGCCAUCUCUUCCAUAAUGGAUUACUUCAGGCACCGGCCCCUUGUCUCCCUGGAGAGUGUCUGUGUACACCCAUCUACUAUGCAGACCACGGUCUCCAGAGCAACCCUAAUAAGCUUCCCGACUGGUAUCCAAAGAAUGAAUUAAAGAAAGGAGCAGAGGGGAUCUAGCCUAUUGCAGUGGGCUGGGGGAAGAAAAGCAAGCUUUUUGACAGAAUUUUUGGAAACUAGGCCUAUUCAAGGUGACCUUGCUGAGCGAGCUCUGAGGGCAGCUGAACCCCUUAAUGGGUCAUGGGUGCAAACCAGCCCUUCCUGAGUUCAUUCUGCACUCUGGUGUAAGUUUUUUGCCCUAAACCUGCAACAUGAGGCAGGGACAUCUAUCCAUGCUGAAACAGAGCCCGUGGUUGGGCAAUGAACACAUCUGUGUUGAAAUACUACAAAAGAGACUUUGGGUUCUAACACUGGCCUCACCAGCUGCCCGCAGUGCGUGCCAAGGAGGUAACUUAGGCUCUGCGAGCUGUGUCCUCAUUUGUGGGAUGAGGUUAAUGAUGGCGACUGCACCUGCCUGCAGUCUGGCACCUGGCACAGGGGAAGUGGGGUAGGUUAGCAAUCAGAUUUCAGUUCUGUAGCCUAGGAUUGCUGAGGCCUAGCUAAGUUCUGUGAUUGUAGGAAAAGGAUAAUGUUUACAGCUAUAAGGACUUAGCACAGAGGAUCCAGAAACUUUAGAUGUGUUCAACAGCAGGUGAUUAGAAGAAUAACAUUUUCUUUUGGAGAUAUAAAAAAGAACAGAAUUGCAUGCUACUUUUGUAAAUUGGCUGUUUCCAAAUGGACAUAAAUGUUGUGUAAAACUUCCUUAUAAAUUGUUGCAGUCAGGGCUGAGCUCCCAUUGUCCUGGGACCUGUUGGAAUUUUGUUUUCUUCUUUCUCCUGUCUCCCUGCCAAGCCUGUUAGGCCAAGUCUACCUAGUCCUGUUCUGACUCGAAAAUUUGCAAUCCCAAUCCACCCUGCCCCAUGACACUCCAUUGUGGGUGGUACUAGGAAAAAGAUCAACCUCACUAGUAUUCUUUCCGCUCAGAGCCUUUCAUAGCCUGUUUCUCAGUGUAUAUUUGAUUGGCCAAAGACAGAGCAAGUGACAUUAAGGGAAAAAGACUUUACAGCCAACUUGUGUCCUGACAUUUUUAAAGCUGUUUUUAAAACUUUUAAAGAGGUUUUAAAGUUACCACUGAAUGGAAAAGCUUGUUUCAUCUUGGAUUAUUGUCUGUAAAAUGAAUCGAGCUUUUGCACAACACAUAUUGUAAUUUCAGGGGGGAGAUUCAUUCCCAGUGCAACCUUUCAAUUUCCCAGAAUGUGGUGCUCAGGAUUGACAAGGAUCCAGCUGCAAAAACCCAUCAGGAAAUGUUGAAAGAUGUGAGGUUUCAAAUGAGAAGAGGCCCUGUGUUCAAGGCACAGGGGUGAUCCUAGGGAACCUCUGGGAUUUUCGUGUGAAUCCAGGGCGAGGUUUCAUUUGGGUAGCACCUGGUUUGAACUGAUUUAUUGAUUGUGCUGAGAAUCAUUUUAGUUGUAAUACUUUAGUUGAUAGUGCUAAGAAUGUUGUAUAUGUGACAUCAGUGACUUUCAAGCUGUAUGCCAGAGACCACAAAGCAGAAGAAUCUGGGGAUGGGGUGGCCAAGCCCAGCUUCUACCCAAGCUGUUUUUUGCUCAUGUCUUACAUGUUCAACUCUCACAGCGUAAAAAGUAGGAAAUGUAAUUUCAAAUAAAUGCUUGAGUACCUCGGCAUUCCUGGCUCUAACAUUUAUGGUUGCAGCUGUUCCAAGCCAACUCACAGUAUGCAAUAAUCCUUAAUUGUGCUAAGGCACAAAUGUGAAUAGCAUCGCCUGCAGUGCAGGUGAGUGGCAGUGUGUAUCUGGCUAGUGAAUCAGUCUUGCUGAUUGUUGUCACCCAUGUAUCCACUUGGCCUUGCAUUAGUUAUUAGUUUUCUUCCCUCUUCAUUAUGGAAGUAGGUUAGAUUGUCAUUGUACAGGGGGAAAAUUGUGUACUGUAAUAGGAUUUGCACUUUGAAGCUUGCUGAUAUCUGAGAUGUGUCCUUCCCAGAUGUCUAAGGUCUUCUGGACAGUUGGAUGGAAUUCCAGUUGCCAUGCCUGAGGAAGUUGUGAAAUGUGUUCUGGAAAGUUCCAUGCUCCAUCACCACUGAGCAUGGGAGGGAAUUUUGUGUGGGGUGCAGAUGCAGCACACAUCAGCUCUCAAACACUGUCAAGAAGAGAUUUUUCUUAUCCCAAUUCCAGCUGAGUCUUCUGAGUAAUAUGGUUUGGUGAAACCACCCAUUAAAAACACAAAAAUUACAUCCCAUUGUAUUCUGUGCUUUGGGACCCGCCUGAGACAAAUGUUCCUGAGACUGUGCUGCGUUUGUAGAGAAAGAGGUUCUGUUAGUGGCUCAUUAAUCUGGAUCAUGUUUGGCGUGUUCUGUGAGCUUGUUAAAAUAAGACUUUUGUGCCUUCCUAAAAACUAUUAAAAAGAACUGAGUCAUGCAGUUUGCCAGCAUCACAGUUAAGAGUGAUUAAGUCCCCUUUUCCAUGGCUGCUGGGGAUGGUCCAGAUGGCAGGUGCCUAGGACAGUCCUCCCUACCCUGAGGUUUUAAGUGUGGCUGUGACCCUAAUUGUUAUAUUUAUUAACUGCGUUGUGCUCACUUGAUACAUGUGGAGCCCUGGUUCAUGUCAGUUACUUUAUGAAUGCAUGAGGAAAAGAUUGUGUUAAAUGAAAGCAAAUGCACAGAACUCAGAAAACCUAGCUAGCCAGGGGUGGAAGUGUUUAUUAGUCGUGUCUCUCUAAACACAUGUGCAAUAAAUAGGUCCUUCUUCUCCUCUAUCUCCUCCUCCUGUUUUCACUCACUCACUUUCUUGGCAGUUCUUCUGAAGAGCCAAUUCCUACUUACUCUGGAUACGGAGAAAUAAUGGCCAGUCUAGGUUCCUCAAGUACCUUUUCUGUCUGCCUGUCACCCAGCGAUUGGGUGUCACCUUUCCCUUGGGCUGUGUUUCCUGGGCUCCAUACAAAGUGAGUGGCUUGUCAUCUCCUUGACUAAGUUAUAUCAGUUCUCUGCCACUAAUGCAGUUUGCAAAUUAGUUUCUCUAGCUAUUUUUUUAAAAACUGGCAUCUGCUCAAACAAGCAACCAUAUAGUUUCUCCAGUUCAGCUGUGAAGACAGCCGAGGACACCAGAUUGAGUUUGCUUUCUGCAAGCUGGAUAUAGGAAUAUCAAAAAAAAAUUUUAAUGGAUGAUUGUUCACUUUUCAAAAGGUUUCUUUGCCUCACCCAAAGAGAGUAAUAGGAUUUCUUUAAACACUGAUUCCUUCUAGUGUCCUAAAUAUAAAAUUUAAUCAAUAUCCUAUUUCUAGAGCAUUCUUCAUGCAUAAAUGUGACGUGACUGUUAGAUAUAUUAUAAUUUACUUAAAGUUAACUUUUAAAAUUACUAACUCUUUUUAGUCUGAGAGGUUCAGUUCUACUAAAUCGAACUGAUUUCACUCUGGCCUGAAGUGAGGAAACGAGUACAUAAUAAUCCUCCAUGAUGGUUUGCAUACAACAAAUUUUAAAAUGAGGACACUAGGUCAUGUGACCUGCAAGGCAUUAAUCUAACAGCGUCUGUUCUCAGAAACCUAAAGGGAAGGCUUUGAACUUUUCAGCCAAAAGGAGAGCUCUGUAAAGCCGUCUCCAGGAUAAGCUUCAUUAGUACAAGCUCAGACAAGAGACCUAUAAGUAGUCCAGAUAAUUCCUCUGCCAGUGGAAUGCAUGUCCUAGAGCUGCUUUACACAAAGGGUCUAACAUAAAUCACAGGUAGACUUUUAUCUUCCAGAAAGGCUAUUUAGUGUUAUUCCAAUUUCAUUCGUUCUGUUCUUCAUCACUGGGUGUCCAUUAAGCCCAAUGCCAAGAAUCAGGAUUUUACAAAAAUGAUUUUGGGCUUGACUUUGCUUUCAUGGAAUUUGUAGUCCAAUUUUUUCAUCCUAUAGACUAGGUGAUGGCUGUAAAGUUGUUGAAAGGUGCCUUAGAUAACCUGUUUUUGCCUCCUUUUCUGACUGCUUCUGUCUUUUGCACCACCCCAAGGUUCAGGUAUCAAAGUACAGAAUUGCCAGGUCAUAUGUAGCCCAAAUGCAUCACACACUGGGCCAUGGCUGAUGGCUGUCUGUGCGUGGUUCGCAGAUGUUCUUUUGAAAUUUUUCUUUGUACUCCGUAAGGACAUGAGAACAUUGGCUGUGUGCUGUUGUUGUUUGUUUGUUUGUGUAAUGCCAGGGUGCUGACCCCUCGUGCCUGUGAUGAUUCCUCUGAGUAGAAAUGGUCCAGAGAAAGAGGGAGAAUGUUGGGAGGUACAGUAGGGGAAGGGGAGCUUUGGCCUUGGGACAGGAGGACAAGUUCAGAGGGAGUACUGUGAGUCUCUAGCAGCCAGGGGUUUAGAGUGUGUGGUCAGUACCAUCACUGAUGCCCUGGUCUUUGAGGAAAGGAUUGUAGGAUAUUCUUCACAUUUCUGCCAGUCACAGGAGACCUCCUGGCAAACAAAGCAUUUGGGAAGUCGUUACAGGGGAGGUGGCCACUAAGCAGACAGGUUUUCCUGGCUAACAGAUCACUCUCGGGGCACAGAAGAGAGAGAGACAUGCAUCUCCGUCAGAAGGAAUAGAAAGCCCAAUUUUAGAUCAGCAAGGAUUCUGCUGCCGUUUCUGUCCCCAGGGCUGCCUGCACACAGCUGGCAGGAGGAAGAGUGGCCCCUUUCUUCCUCCUCUGUGACACUUUUCACACACACACUCACUCAGCCGCACAGUCAGCUUCAGUGGUGAGUGUUAAUCUCCAUCUUGCAGAUGAGGAAACACUGAGUGGCCAACAGUCCCCCCCGAGGAUGGUACACCUACCUGGGAAAGAGCACAGCUGGAAAUGCAGACCCGGAGUGCAUGAGGCCAAGUGUGUGCUUUCGGCCAGCACUGUGACCUGCCUGUCCAUGGAGGAGCUGGCUGGAGGGAUUCUGCCAGGCUGUGAACCUUGCACCAGGGACGCUGUGCCUCCUUUGUACCAGCUCCCGAGAUUGGAUUCCAGCAUUGUAGAAAUAGCAAGAUGCAUUAUGGUCCAAAAGUCUAAAUUACAAUUAGGUCAUUCAUGCAAAGUGGCAUAAUUUUUCAAGACAGAAUAUCUGACAUAUUUGAAUUAAAAGAAUUAGGACUACAGAACAAAACAAACAUAUAGAUUCUCAAUCUUCAUGUGUCCGUGGGCAAGUGUGGAGCUUCAGAGUUAUAGUUUUGUAGUGAGAAUUUUGUGCUUUACAAUUCCUAAAGUCUGUUUUAAUGCUAAUAUGAUCCCUUUUGCUAUUAUCCUGGAAUUAAGUAGCUUCUUGGGGAUCCUCAAAGAUUGUAAGCAUGAUAUGCAUGUGAAUAUGAGAGAAACACUGUUUAUCCCCCAUCAUAGGACUAAGUUUCCCUACUGGGCAAUGACUGCCUUUAUUUUAUUUUAAUUAUUCUUAUAUUUGGUACUUGGAACGACAUGAUUUCAUAUUGUUCUAAUCUAAUGGGAUGUGGCUCCAUACAUUUUGAGUAGGUUUUAAACCAGGGAACAAUAAAACAUUCAGCAAAUUAUGUUGGAAGGCAUCUGCACACAUUCUAUUCACAGCCCUGAGCCAGCCAUCCUGCUCCCAUAUGGGUGACCAAACGCAUCGACUGGAUGAAGCAGGCUGAGAUCUGGCAUCCGUAAGCCACUCUGGCUGGCACUGCCGCUUCCACAUGGCAGGACAGGCUGGUGGAGGCUGGGUCUGAUGUCUCGGAGAAGAGUGCGUGCGUGCCAAGUACUGUGCUGCCACCACAUUCUUCAGCCCACUGGUUAUGAAUCCAGGAUCAUCAGUGUGCUGCAGCUCAACCUCAGUGUAGUUUUUCUGUCCCCUGGCUUCUUACUGACAUGCCUUCACCUUUCCUGGCUAGCAGAGGAAGAGGAAGAUGCCCGGUUUCCAGUGGACAGCUUUGUGGGUUGCUGGCAGUUCUGAUAAGAGUGGUUCUGGGGGCUGGGGGUGGAGAAGAGGAACUAAAAAGGGAUCAGAGGCUUUCUGUGGACUUUGUCUCCCAGUAUUGUUAUCCUUGCUUUGCCUUUGUGAGCUGUACUCCAGAAAGGACUCAUUUGGAAAUCCAUUAAGGAGGGAAGAUGUGACCAGACCACAGAGGUCAGCUGGUUUCUGUUUCUCCAUGCAGUUUGCUCCUGUGGGGUUGUGUUCCUGAGGAAGUGUUUUCUCUUUUUGUCUGGUGCUUCCUCCAGUCCUCUGCUGUGACUGUCAUUGACUUGGAAACCUGGCCACUGUGUCUACAGUCAGUUCCUGCAGAAGAGAGGCCGUGCCUGAUGUGAAAGCAGCUAUGGCUUCCUGUAGCCCUGGGCACGGCUGGGUCCUCACCGUGGGCCACACAAGGGGUGGCUUCUUUCAUGUCUAGAUGCCAAGGCAUUGGAAAGAAGUAGCUUGGAGAGGAAAGGCAUGUAAUUUGGGGGUCAGGCAUACUUUGUUUGAUAUCUGGUCCCUGCCAUGUGCUCAGGUACUUAGGCUUUGUGAACCUCAGUUUUAUUAUUUGCAACAUGGGGCUAGUGAAGAGAGCUGCUCAAGAAGAAGUUAAAGAUCAUAUAAGUCUCCUAGACUGCGUGAGCUAGGGUGCUUCCAUUUCUACGGGCCUUCAUUGUGUCCAGUUUAUGUUGGAGGAAGUAGAACUGCAUUUCUAAGUGGAGGACAGUUGCAACAGACACGUUAUGGGCAGCAGCUGAGCUGCAGAAAACUGGUUGUAAAAUGCUCAUGGUUUCUGCCAGGAGCGGCUUUCACCUAUGAGCACUGCUGCUCUCAGACUGAUUGAUUGAUGGGUUGAUUUUUGCAUUCUGGAGAUUAAACUCAGGGCCUUGAGCAACUCAACAUAUAUUCUCUCUGAUGUGCAUCUCUGGAGAUACAUAUAUAUAUAUUUUUUUAAACAGAGUCUCACCAAGUUGUUCAGGCUGGACUCAGAUUUGUGAUCUUUCUUCCUCAGCCUCUUGAGGAGCUGGUAUUACUGGCAUGCAUCAUCAUGCCCAGCAUGAGAUUUGUUUAAGGAAAGAAGUCUUAUUCAUUACACCAUAUUCCCGUUGAAACGUAAGGCUUCCGACCUACCAUUCUUUAUCCUGGCAAAGUACAUCCAGUACUCUGAGGAUCUUGCAACACACUGGUAACUGCUAAAGAAGAGUGACCUGACCUAGGGGAAACAUAUUCCUUCACAAAAGCUCUUGCUGCUUACAGAGUUUGUAAGAAAUCACCUGUCACACCCCCGCCGUGGCUCUCUGGGGUCUGGGGAACAGCUGGGUGUCACUGUGUGGUGAGGCUGUAGAUGUACUCAUGCUGAAUUUUUCAUACCUAAAGUUUUCACUCAGUAGCCUUCGUAGUGUCUGGCACCAAGAUGGUGCUCACAGUGGGAGAAUCAGGCAGGGUAAAAUUACAGCCCACACAGCCUGGGACUUGAGCACUUGGACACUGUGGGUUGUAGGCAGUGGUGCUUCUCGGAACCCUUUGUAGAGUUUGUUUUAUGGUUUUUUUGUUUUUUGGUUUUUUUUUUCUGUGUUGGAGACACUCCAAACUAUUUUUCAGGGUAUUCUUUAUAAAUCAUUUAACAUAUUAGGGCUACUAGCAGUGGCAGAACUACACGGAUGACUUGAAUAUUAUGAUGAAAGAUUAAUGUGUCCUUAUUCAGUGUUAGGAGCAAGGGUUGGUGUGCAGAGGAUAGAGUGGCCAGAGCACAAAUCCUGGUUGUGUCCCAACCACUGGACUGACUUUUAAUAUGGGGCCGGUCCUGGGAGCCCUUGCAUCUCACCUUCGUGGAGGGAAACUGAUCCUCUGUUUAGGAGACCAGAGAGCCCAUGACUGUGAAGGGGCUUCAAAAACCAAAGCGCACUCUAGGAGCUGUUCAUUCUCUUGUUGUCCCUGUUCCUUGCUCAGUGUGGCAGUGUUGACAGCCACCUCUUCAGUGAUGGAUUGUGUCAAUGCACCUGUUGCAACACCAUCAAGCACUUAGGAGAAAUAGCGAAUCCUCCCAGUUAACCUUGAUCACAAAAAUACUUACCAGCAUCCCACAACAAACUUUAUGUGCCAUUUAAAUUCAUUUGUCAAUACGAAAAUAUUUAUUUCUCUUACCUGGCAACAAAGAAACACAAAUUUAGUCUGUGUCAGCACCGUGUGCAUUUACAGACCCUUCUUCUAUGUCCCUACCCCCGAUUUGAGUUAAUCUUCCUUUUUCCUUUUUUGCCCUUUGUGUUCUCAUUGGACAACAGCCCUCUCCUGUUACAGCUGGGCAAAUCUUAUCCAGAUUUAGGACAGGGGCUCUGGAGCUUCAUUGUUGCAGCAAUUGAGUCAAAUGACCGAGCUUUCCAUCAGUCACUUUCAAGGCAAGAUGAUGAAUGAAGUUCUGGCAGCUUCCUGUGUCCCAGGCCUUGUAGAAAUAACUGAGACAGACGCGCUUCAAAGCUCUAAUGUGCAUCACAUCGGAUCUUGGUUAAGGAAGCGUUAAAAGGAACCCGCCAUUACCUAUUGAGAAGGCUCUGUGCUCUCAGGCAUUUGUUUCUGAUUGAAUCCAGAGGUUGCAAGCAUGCUUCCCUGUAUUACCUGUUGGAGCAGGUUUAAUUUUAUAAAUUUUAAACACAAACUCUAUGAGUUUCUAGUUCAUAAUUGUUCUUUUUGAGGAUCCACUCAGAUGAACAGUAUUGCAUCUGUAAGAGAUACAUACACACCUCCACAAGCCCAGAAUUGAUUGGAAAAUCAGUGGCAACAAGCUCCCAUCUGUAGCAUCAUCCAGUACCAGUAAUGGAAAGGACAGAGUGCUUGGAAUCCUUUGGGGAGAAGUCAUGUUGUGUUGAAACUACAAAUGACUGGAACCAUAGCUUUAGUAUACCAUGGCUUUUAAAACAAACACAACUGCAUACACUGGGUAGUUUUUGACCAGUGGCUUUAAUUCGUUAUUGCUAUCUCCCUGGAUAUCGUCAAACACUGAAAGUCUUCAAAUUGCAUUAAAAAAUGUUUUUAAAUGCAGCUUUGACAAAAUUCAGUGUUCAGUAUAGUAUUCCAAGUAUUCCACGCCAGACUUCCUGUCCUGUAAUUGCAAACAGCAGGUACCCAGGUGGUAGACUAGACCUUGUGGCAGAGUAAGGAAUGACAGUGAACAGGCACACUACAUUGUAUCCUAAACAUACUUUAUAAGUACGUUUCUUAUUUGCUUCUUAUUCAGGCAGAGAUUAUAAAAGUUUGUUACAAGUAUCCAAAUCAGGAUUUGUGUUUUGUAAAUGAUCAAUGUUCACAAUACCCACAAGGGGAAAAAAAUGGAAAAAUUCAAAUAUUCAUACCCUUUACACUUAAAAGAAUAUUUUUUAUCAUUCUUUUGUUUUGGCUCUGUCAAAAAUUAAAGUGCUUGGAAUGCUGUAGUCUGUGGUCUCUUGAAGUUUAAUCAAUGAGAACCUAACACCUUCACAGUAUGCUGUCACUUUGGACGUUCAUAAUAAAAAUUGAAACUGA